Molecule: ribosomal RNA, 400 nt
Filed under: Albinaria lycica phaselis
Lineage: Eukaryota; Metazoa; Mollusca; Gastropoda; Stylommatophora; Clausiliidae
Description: partial 12S ribosomal RNA
Source: RNAcentral
AUUUGAUGGGAAGUAGUAAGCCUUAAUUAUAUUUAAAUAUGGACUCUUAAGAGUGUUAUUCCAGUUUAAGAUUUUAAAUAAUAUAAGUAAUUGUAAUUUAGAUAGUUUAUUAAUUUAGGUUUAUUAGGUGCCAGCAACCGCGGUCAAACCUAAUAAGUUAGCUUACAAGUUUAUUAAAUAUUAAAUAUUUCUUUAAUCAAUAUAAUAAAUAGUGAAAUAUUACUAUGUUUAUAGUACUACGAAAGAAAUUAAUACACUAAACUCAUAUAAAAAACUAGGAUUAGAGACCCUACUAUUAUGAGCUUAAAUAAUUAUUUAAUAAGGAGUAAAAUUAUAAAAUUUAAACUUUAAAAUUAUGGCGGCUAAACAAAACACUUAGGGGAACUUACCAUAUAAUUGA